Molecule: long non-coding RNA, 180 nt
Organism: Oncorhynchus keta (chum salmon)
Lineage: Eukaryota; Metazoa; Chordata; Actinopteri; Salmoniformes; Salmonidae
Exons: 3
Source: RefSeq, a predicted model, not a curated record
AGGUCUCCUCUCUACGAUGACUACAGGUCUCCUCUCUAUGAUGACUACAGGUCUCCCUCCUCUCUAUGAUGACUACAGGUCUCCUCUCUAUGAUGACUACAGGUCUCCUCUCUAUGAUGACUACAGGUCUCCUCUCUAUGAUGACUACAGGUCUCCUCUCUAUGAUGACUACAGGUCUCC